This 4717-nucleotide long non-coding RNA is filed under the name Sus scrofa (pig). Its description in RNAcentral is "lncRNA (ENSSSCG00030065057.1)". Lineage: Eukaryota; Metazoa; Chordata; Mammalia; Artiodactyla; Suidae. The record is from RNAcentral.
UCACUGGGAGUUCUGUUGUGGCUCAGCGGAAACGAAUCUGACUAAUAUCCAUGAGGAUAUGGGUUUGAUCCCUGGCCUGCUCAGUGGGUUGGGAUCUGGUGUUCCUGUGGUUGUGGUGUAGGCCAGCAGCUGUAGCUCUGAUUCAGCCCCUAGCCUAGGAAUUUCCAUAUGCCACAGACACAGCCCUAAAAGGAAAAAAAAAAAAGCAAGAAAGAAAAUACUCAUUGAACAAUAAGAACUUUUAAAUAUUAUAAAAUUCUGUUCUAGAAUCUCAUCUUAAUGAUACCUACUUCUUAGCUUAAAAACAUUGUCUAAAAGAUGUUAAGUAUUAAUCUUGCAUUUUGCAGCACGCUCACAUUUAUCUCCAAAUAAUGUACAGUGUUUUGGCAGUUAUUUAUCUAGUUAUUUAUAUAUUUAUGUGAUGCCUAUUUCUGAAAUAUUCAGUGCCUUUGACAAGUGUGCUGUGUUGGCAGAAAAUAACGUUUAAGAGAGAAACAAUAUUCUAUUUCACUUGACUACUUCAAUACAACAACUAUAGUAGUAUUUUAUGACUUAAUGAACAACCAUCAGAAGGAAAGAGAAAUAGACCAACCAAUCACGCAAGUUAUCAAGUCACAGAGACUAAAUAAAAACUCUGUGUGGAUUUCUUUUCAAGGUGAAAAAAAAAAAAGAGCUGUUAUCCAAAAGGUGAAAUAAUGAAUUUAGGAGAAACAUACAUUUUAAAAGGCUUGUAACUGAUUUUUAUUUUGCUUUGUAUGUCAGGUUCCUCCUCUAAACUCAGAGCUUCCCUUUUCCUCACAGGAGUCAGUUUGGGCAAAAGGCCAUUGAACUAUGUGGAGAAUCAUUAUUUGAACAAGACAUUUAUCAUCAGGUUUAGAUGGUUUGAUAUGCAGUUAUUCUGAAGACCAGUUAAAUAUCAUACCUAAUGUUCAUAAAACAGACCAAAUUAUAUUCUUACAUGAGUAACAUAUCUUAGUUUCCCAUAUAUGUUUUCUCUUUCAGUUUAUUUUCUUUUCACAAAUGAUAUUAAAAAUGUGCUAAGUUGGUGAACUAGGAUCAAGAUAUGCAUAUAACUGUAUUUCAGCCAGAGAUGUUUCAGCAGGGCAUAUUAUUUGUCAUUAAACUCUGUUUUAAUAUUGUAAUAAGUACAAUAUUUUGACAUAGAGAACAUUUCACAAAUUUUCUCUUUCUUGGGAAAUACUGCCAAUAUUUCUUUGUCACCAUAAUACAGUUAUUUGAGGAAGUGGUGGUAACCUAUGAACUCUCCAUCAAGCUCAUCAGGAAAUUGCUAUAAAGAAGGAAUUGUCAAGUGAUGCCCUUGAUCCCUUAGGGAAGAGUGGGUCUCCUUUUGGGGAAGCUGAGAGAGAUUUAUUUAGGAAGAAGUAUUGAGAAUUGUCUUUUUUCCCCAAUCUCUGCCUGAAUUUUGCUUACUUAUUAUAGAUGCUGUUUUCAUCUUCUGAAAUUGCAUUCCACUUUUAUAAAAGAUUUGGUUUAACUUUAGGGGAUUUUCCUGCAAGGCUUGCUUCCAUUCAAAUUUCCUUAAGAUGUUUUAUUAUCUAUUCUGGUGGCUCUUUCUCUAAUGGUAUCAGGAUGAGCUCUUUCUAAAAGUUUGUAAAUUCAGAUUUAGUAUCCAGUUAAAUGCAGAUGUUAAAUGCAGAUAUGUUCUAGGGUCUUCAUCACAUAAUUCCAGUAUCAAUACAUUUCAUUAACCUUUGAAUUUUUAUUAAACAUUUCUUACCCAGAAAAAAUUAAAUAAUUAAAAAAAUUAAAAUAAAGUAAAUACCACAUUCUGGUAGAAAAGUAAAUAAGACUGCACCUGCAUGGGUGUCUGUUUUAUGGAGAAAGGUACACUGAGAAGAACAAACUAAAAAGUACAGUGGCUUUUGGAAUUGCUGUAAAGAUAAAACCAUGCCAUUACGUACAGAACCCCACAAAUAUAAAUAUAAUUAUCUUUGACUAUGUGGAUUAUGCCUAAAAAUGGAUUGUUUUUUACUGCUUUUUUCCCCAAAUACAACAUAGAAAGGAAAUUUAAAAAUAUAAUUGUUUGAAGUGUGCAGUGUGUACUUUGCAUUCAAAGAAAUAUGGCAACUCUGUGCCCUUGAGUAAGUCAAUUAACUUCUCUAGUUGCAGUUUUCUCUUCUGCAAAACCAGGGAUUGGACUGUGUAUCUCUUAGAUUUAUUCAGGUUACAGUAUUGAAUACUUUGACCCAUUUUAUAAAACUUACCACAUCUUAAUUUAUCAACCUAAAGUUACAUAUUUGUUUGUGUGUUCUUUCUAAAGUUAUUUCACACCAUUGGUUGUUGCACUUGCUUAGUAUUCAGGAGGAAUUAAAGAUGGAGGAGAUUGGACAAGAAGCAGGAAUAAAAUAUAAUUUCUGAAGCUCAAAGAGCUAAAAGGUAUUACAGAUAAUACCAUUUUUGAGGAAGAUUUGGGGAUAAGGAAAAUUUUAGUGUCUAUGCGUGUUGUACACAUUUUGUUUGAUAGUUAUUUACUUCUCACAGCAGCUCUGAAAUAGGUAUCAAUAUCCAGUUUAUCCUGUUUGUAAAUUGUGGCUCAGUGGAGCCUAAGAUCCAUACAGCUAGGAAGUAAAGCCCUCAUAUGCUCUUUCCAGAUCACAAUGUGAUUUUUGUUUAUGAGGGUGGAAUAGCAAAAGAGAGGUGUGUAUGGGAACACUGAGUAGCGCAUACAAUAAAGAGCUUAAUAUCUAGUUUUCCAUCCAGCUCCAAGAUCAAUACACUUUAUUCACCUUUGAAUUUUUAUUAAAACAUUUCUUACCCAGAACAAAUUAAAAUAAAGUUGAUUCUCCAAGCCCAUGAUUUUCUUUUCUGUGGAAACUUUCAUUUGGCUGUAUAUUAGAUUUGGGUCAUCAUGCUGUACAUAGAAAAAAAAUAAUGUAUUGGGGAAAUAAAAAAAAUUUUUAAAAUGGAAGAUUAGAAAAAUAAAUAAAGUUGAUAAGACCACAUGUAGUGCCAAGAAAGACUUAUGUCUGUUGAUUCUGUACUAUUAAAUGAUAUUAUAAUGUUAAUCAUAAUUCUAAAAUAUUGACUAAAUAAAUAAGGAUCCAAAGCCUUGAGCUAAGGCCAUCAUCAUCUUUUCUCAUAACACAGACAUACUUUCACAAGAAGGAUAGGCACAUAAAAUUUACCCUCUAAGAGAGAUUACCUAAGAAAUUAUUGUUAUUUUGUAGAGUUUGUAUCUCACUUCAAAUCCAUUAAUGAAUAUUGAGGGCUUUGUGUUCAGAUCUAUGAAAUGAAUGCUAGUGUGUAUGCUUAUUCUUAUAAUAACUAAGAAACUAUCAAAUAUGUGUUAUUGGAUUGAAGCAAUGGAAAAAUGAGAAGGAAGAAUGAGUCUAUUUUUAAAAGAAGAAAAAUGCAAUUAAGUCUUUUGGGGUAUAAGAAUUUUCAGAAUUAUUAUAAAUAGAAGGGCCUAUCUCAGCUUGAUUACUUCAAAACAGCUUCCUGCAACCUCCCACCAAGUAGAUGAGCAAUUAGUAUAAUCACAGCAAUAAAUCAAAGACACUUGCUGUUCAAACUUGUGUUGCAGCUUUUCCUUUUGGCAUUGCUCCUAGGCUAUUCCAGUUGAAUACACAUAGACAUGCAUGCAUGGUAUUUAAUAAAAUUUUAUUUGGUAAAAAGCAAAAUGCCUAGGAAUGACUUCUUUUUGUAUCAAGGUUAAAUAAAGGGCACUGAACGAGUAAAGCUGUGCUAAAAAGAACAGUGGCCAACUCAGGGAUAUUCUUAUACUCCAAACAGUCGUACAGAUGGAAGUCUGGCCAACAAAACCAUAAAGCAUCAAGUCUAACUGUGAGUCAAUCUGUCAGUGCAAGUACAAGGUGACUCAGGAAAAGAUUGCAUUUUGUCUUCUGACAAAUACUCAGAGGUUCUAGUACAUUUAUGUGUGUUGGAUAUUGUUGGAAGGAAAGGAUAAAAACGACUUCACAAAUGGGGAGUGAAUUUUUAACAACUGAUUAUUUGCUAAAAAAAAAGAGUUAGUGUAACCCAUUGAAUUGAAUUUUUAAAGAAAUUUUUAAUAGGUGAAUAUCAAAACGAAUUACUCUGUAUCUGCUCAUCUAUUUGAGGUCCUGCUAUAAUAUGUGUAUAUCUUCUGCUACUGAGUUGAUUCACUCAAAAGGUAUUGCUUUGAAGAAGCGCAAAAAAAUAUUUUUUACAGUGCUAAUCAUGUCUUCUUUUUGCUAUGUUAUUAGAAUACCUAAGUUGAAAAGUUGCUUUAAGUUUAAUCUAAAUAUUAAAUUAAUUAUUACUUUAAAUUCCCAAAUUAUUGAUUUGUCUAGAUAACUGAUGCUUGAGUUAUGAUAGCCUUGAUUUUUUUACUGGUUUGGUAGUUCUUAUAAUGACUGUUUCUAAAACCCCUUUUUAAACCUCUAAUUAAAGAAAUUCAGAAACUUAUGGAAAAAUGUCAAUUUUAGCUUUGCAUGAAAUUCUGCUGAGAGGUUAAAGAAUGUGGAAUUUUCCCAUCUAUUAAAAGGCAAACAAUAAGCUCUUUUUGUUAUUGUUUUUCAUUGUGGAUAUGGAUUUUUUUAUGGUCAAAAGGAAUCCGAAUUUUCUGGUUAAAUAAUGUGUAGGAAAAUGUGAAAACAUAUCAGUACUUAGUCUAUGUUCUCAGGAAAUAGUAUUUUAUAUCCCCAAAACAUUUUGCUCACUGAAUACGUGAUUUUAAGAAAAGAGAUUAUUAGUACAUGGAUAAAUAUCAAGCCAU